Molecule: unclassified non-coding RNA, 178 nt
Filed under: uncultured fungus
Lineage: Eukaryota; Fungi
Description: partial contains 18S rRNA, ITS1, 5.8S rRNA, ITS2 and 28S rRNA
Source: RNAcentral
AAGGAUCAUUACAAAUCAUGUUCACUGGUCAGGCUUGUUUGUCUGGCUGGGUGAACACAUUGGCACAGGGCAGCAGCACUGCAAGGUGACGCUGCCUUGAUGUUUACGCUUGUUUGUUUGACAGAGUAAAGUGAAGCUAAAAUAUAGACAACUUUUAACAAUGGAUCUCUUGGCUCUU